UAGAACUUCUUUUGCAAGUUUGUUCGUAGUCUACACCGACUUGACCCUCAGCUCUCCAGCUCGAUUCGAUACUGACCUCGCCAACUUCCUUCCAGAGCCUUACAGCAACAGAUGCAUAACCUUCUGCCAAACUAUUUCAUAACCUUGAGGAGAUAAUAAGUACUGUGUGAUAAUGCAUAGGUGAAAGCAGAAUAAUAUACAUGAAAGGUCCUAAUAAGCAUGCCACA
Molecule: long non-coding RNA, 227 nt
Filed under: Elaeis guineensis (African oil palm)
Lineage: Eukaryota; Viridiplantae; Streptophyta; Magnoliopsida; Arecales; Arecaceae
Description: long non-coding RNA (EGUI_LNC004532)
Source: RNAcentral